RNAcentral lists this ribosomal RNA (407 nucleotides) under uncultured bacterium. Its description in RNAcentral is "partial 16S ribosomal RNA". It matches the Rfam family "Bacterial small subunit ribosomal RNA", at positions 28 to 526 of the family's 1533-position model. The record is from RNAcentral.
GACGAACGCUGGCGGCGUGCCUAAUACAUGCAAGUAGGACGCAGUUGCGAACGGGUGAGUAACGCGUAGGUAACUACCUAUUAGAGGGGGCUAACUAUUGUAAACGAUAGCUAAUACCGCAUACUAGUAGAUGGACCUGCGUUGUAUUAGGUAGUCGGUAGGGUAAUGGCCUACCUAGGCAACGAUACAUAGCCGACCUGGGGGGGUUAGCUGCCCCACUUGGACUGAGACACGGCCCAGACUCCCACGGGAGGCAGCAGUAGGGAAUCUUCGGAAAUGGGGGGAACGCUGACCGAGCAACGCCGCGGGAGUGAAGAAGGGUUUUGGAUCGUAAAGCUCUGUUGUGAAGGAAGCGGUACUUAACCAGAAAGGGACGGCUAACUACGUGCCAGCAGCCGCGGUAAUAC